GUCUACGGCCAUACCACCCUGAAUGCGCCCAAUCUCGUCUGAUCUCGGAAGCUAAGCAGGGUCGGGCCUGGUUAGUACUUGGAUGGGAGACCCUACCUUGAAAAACGAAAACAAACA
This 117-nucleotide ribosomal RNA is filed under the name Jaculus jaculus (lesser Egyptian jerboa). The record is from RNAcentral. Lineage: Eukaryota; Metazoa; Chordata; Mammalia; Rodentia; Dipodidae.